RNAcentral lists this long non-coding RNA (199 nucleotides) under Capsicum annuum. RNAcentral's name for it is "long non-coding RNA (CANN_LNC018654)". Lineage: Eukaryota; Viridiplantae; Streptophyta; Magnoliopsida; Solanales; Solanaceae. The record is from RNAcentral.
UUUAGAGAAGUUUGGAAUUGUUCAUGGAAAUUAAGGUCGUGGGUUCGAAGUAUAGCGGACCAGUUUCGUCUUUGGGGGUAUGUUAUGGCUUAACUCUUUCAAAAUGGGCUGGGUAUUAAAUGAUGUUACAAAAUAUAUGUCAAGGGUAGGAACUAAUCAAGAAAAAUGGCUAUUUUUGUGCUGUGCCCGUGUGGGGGCA